GAUGAACGCUGGCGGCGUGCUUAACACAUGCAAGUCGAACGGAAAGGCCCAAGCUUGCUUGGGUACUCGAGUGGCGAACGGGUGAGUAACACGUGGGUGAUCUGCCCUGCACUUCGGGAUAAGCCUGGGAAACUGGGUCUAAUACCGGAUAGGACGAUGGUUUGGAUGCCAUUGUGGAAAGUUUUUUCGGUGUGGGAUGAGCUCGCGGCCUAUCAGCUUGUUGGGGGGGUAAUGGCCUACCAAGGCGUCGACGGGUAGCCGGCCUGAGAGGGUGUACGGCCAAUUGGGACCGAGGACAGGCCCAAGUCCCUAAGGGGGGGAGGAGGGGGGAAAUUUGCAAAAGGGGGGAAAGGCGGGUGGAGGAGCGCCGGGGGGGGGAAGGCGGCCUUGGGGUUGAAAACCCCUUUUCGUAGGGGAGAAGCGUUUUUGUGCGGGUACCGGGAAAAAAGCCACGGCUAAAUUCGUG
This 466-nucleotide ribosomal RNA is filed under the name uncultured bacterium. Its description in RNAcentral is "partial 16S ribosomal RNA". It matches the Rfam family "Bacterial small subunit ribosomal RNA", at positions 28 to 507 of the family's 1533-position model. The record is from RNAcentral.